RNAcentral lists this ribosomal RNA (253 nucleotides) under uncultured microorganism. Its description in RNAcentral is "partial 16S ribosomal RNA". It matches the Rfam family "Bacterial small subunit ribosomal RNA", at positions 524 to 776 of the family's 1533-position model. The record is from RNAcentral.
UACGGAGGGUGCAAGCGUUAAUCGGAAUUACUGGGCGUAAAGCGUACGUAGGCGGCUUGUUAAGCAAGAUGUGAAAUCCCCGGGCUCAACCUGGGAAUGGCAUUUUGAACUGGCAGGCUCGAGUUCUGAAGAGGGUGGUAGAAUUUCCAGUGUAGCGGUGAAAUGCGUAGAUAUUGGAAGGAAUACCGGUGGCGAAGGCGGCCACCUGGGCCAAGACUGACGCUGAGGUGCGAAAGCGUGGGGAGCAAACAGG